UCUCCAGUGGCGCAGUUGGUUAGCGCAUGGUACUUAUACGACAGUAGCUGCAUGUGAAACUAUACUAAUAAUAUGUACAUAAUAAAAGUAAUGCCGAGGUCGCGAGUUCGAGCCUCGCCUGGAGAA
RNAcentral lists this transfer RNA (126 nucleotides) under Daphnia pulex (common water flea). It matches the Rfam family "tRNA". From Rfam's summary of the family: Transfer RNA (tRNA) molecules are approximately 80 nucleotides in length. Lineage: Eukaryota; Metazoa; Arthropoda; Branchiopoda; Diplostraca; Daphniidae. The record is from Rfam by way of RNAcentral.